Non-coding RNA from Odocoileus virginianus texanus, 1938 nucleotides. NCBI's taxonomy places the organism in Eukaryota, Metazoa, Chordata, Mammalia, Artiodactyla, Cervidae. The record is from RefSeq and is a predicted model, not a curated record.
GUCUCCAGAGCUCCCAGCUGAGCGUCCGAAUGGCGGCGGUUGCGGCGGAGGCGCGCGUGUUCCUGGAGGUGCGGAGACGGCUGCAGAGCGCGCUGCUGAUCCUGGGGGAUUCCGCGGAAGGAGGUCUGCCCAUGGAUGUUUCGGUAACGCCGUCCUCGCUCCGGAUGCAGGGCCCCGGCGGCUGCACGGAGCUCCGGCUGCCGGCAGGGGUCAGGCUCGCGCCGUCCUCCUGCCGCGGGCUGCGACACGUGCCCGGGGACGGGCUGCACCUGCGGCUGCAGGCGCGGGCCGAGUGCCGCCCGGAACUGAUUUCAGUGUUUAAUCAAAGCUUACAAGCCCAAGAAUGUUGCACGUUUUAUUGCCAGUCCUGUGGUGAAGUCAUCAUAAGGGACAGGAAACUCCUGAGAGUGCUCCCCCUGCCAGGCGAUAACUGGGGCGCUCUGGUUGACGAGUGGUGUUGUCAUCCUGACCCCUUUGCUAAUAAGCCACUUCAUCCACGAGAGAAUGACUGUUUCACCGGAGACUGUUUCUACCUGGUGAAUUUAAAGAGUGAUUUGUGGCAGCCAAGACCUAAAGAAGCCCCAGUGGAGACACACCAUCUUUCUUCUGAGAACCAUCUAAAAUUGAAACCAAAGGCAAAUACCAAAGUAAUUUGUAAGCGUUGCAAGGUAAUGUUGGGAGAGACUGUGUCAUCAGAAACCACUAAGUUUUAUAUGACGGAGAUAAUUAUUCUGCCAUCUGAAAGAAAUUUUCCCAUCAUACCAAGGUCUCAGUUUGUACAGAGCAUUAUCGCCCAGUGUAUGGUGGAACUGUCCUCUGCUAGAAGCACUUUUAGAUUCACUAUUCAAGGUCAUGAUGGCAAAGUAUACAUUCUGCUAUGGCUUUUAAACUCAGACAGUUUGGUGAUUGAAUCUUUGGGACAGUCCACAAGUAUCAAAAAAUUCCCUGUGUUGGAAGAUGUAUUGAAGGCCGAUUCCAAUUCCGCCUGGAAUGCAGUCAAGGUCCUCUACCAGCCAUGCAUCAAAAGCCGGAAUGCAGAUCUCUCUAGCUUGUGGGAAAAUGACAUCAGCGUACACUCCCUCACCCUGCCCUCUACAACCUGCCUGGAGCUGCUGUUGAUACUGUCGAGGAGUAAUGCUGCACUGCCUCCAUCCCUCCGCUGUAUGAAUUCUUUCCAGAUAUAUGCAGUCUCCAAGGGCUCCAAGAAAUGGGCAGGCAGAAGCCUGAGAACUUUACAAAUGAGCUGCAACAAAGGGGCUACCGAGAAGAGAAAGAGAAGUUUCUGACUCUAUACCACUUUCUUCUUGUCUGCCUUAGACACUGCACAACAUAAAUGGCCUUCUCUGUCAUAUGCCAUGUUCACAUCUAGGUGGCCUUUUUGAAGAUGUAACCAGGGGAGUUGACACAUCCCUCUCCACAGCACGGGGUGUACCGGCAGCCAGCAGUUACAGAGGGCAGUGGGCAGCAGUUACAGAGACAAGAACCCGGCUACAGCAAGAGAACGGGGCGUUGCAGUUUUGAGUUUACUUGCUCGCAUCUGUUCUCUAAGAGAAGAGUUAACUUUAAAUCCUUGAAACACCAAGGCUGUGAAGAAAGUCAUAGUAGCAGGUUGAGAGAUAAGUAUAGAAUUUUCAUCUCUGUUUCCCACCGAGAGGAACAUUCAGAUAUGUGCUGUGUCAGCACCACCUGGAGAGAGAGAGCUGGCGGAGACCCAUCCAUCCUGUGUGGAGGCAGCGAGGGGCUUUGGUGGUGGAAUUGAAAGUUAGCUGCUGUAAAUCUUCAGACAUAACUUGCAGAGAACUUCUCAGAUUUGCUUAAAAAAAUUUUUUUAAGAAAAUAUGGAACUCUGUAUGCCUUAUUCAGACGGGAUGCUCAGUAAAUAAAUGUCUGUUGAAUGCCUGAUUGUCAAAUUAAAGGGUUUCCCAUUUAUGCAAAACU